GAAGGUGGCGAGCGUUGUUCGGAAUCACUGGGCUUAAAGCGCGCGUAGGGCGGAAUAGAUAGUGUCUUGUGAAAGCCCCCGGCUCAACCGGGGAAUUGCUUGGCAUACUACUAUUCUUGAGGUAAGUAGGGGUACAUGGAACUCUUGGUGGAGCGGUGGAAUGCGUAGAUAUCAAGAGGAACGCCAAUGGUGAAGACAGUGUACUGGGCUUAUUCUGACGCUGAGGUGCGAAAGCGUGGGGAGCGAAAGGGAUUAGAUACCCCUGUAGUCCACGCCGUAAACGAUGUCUACUAGGUUGUGGAGGUUCUGACACCCUCACAGUCGAAGCAAAAGUGUUAAGUAGACCGCCUGGGAAGUACGGUCGCAAGGCUA
Molecule: ribosomal RNA, 372 nt
Filed under: uncultured organism
Description: partial 16S ribosomal RNA
Rfam family: Bacterial small subunit ribosomal RNA
Source: RNAcentral